RNAcentral lists this ribosomal RNA (468 nucleotides) under uncultured bacterium. RNAcentral describes it as "partial 16S ribosomal RNA". It matches the Rfam family "Bacterial small subunit ribosomal RNA", at positions 28 to 507 of the family's 1533-position model. The record is from RNAcentral.
GACGAACGCUGGCGGCGUGCUUAACACAUGCAAGUCGAACGGAAAGGCCCUGCUUUUGUGGGGUGCUCGAGUGGCGAACGGGUGAGUAACACGUGAGUAACCUGCCCUUGACUUUGUGAUAACUUCAGGAAACUGGGGCUAAUACCGGAUAGGAGCUCCUGCUGCAUGGUGGGGGUUGGAAAGUUUCGGCGGUUGGGGAUGGACUCGCGGCUUAUCAGCUUGUUGGUGGGGUAGUGGCUUACCCAGGCUUUGACGGGUAGCCGGCCUGAGAGGGUGACCGGCCACCUGGGGACUGAGGUACGGCCCAGACUCCUACGGGAGGCAGCAGUGGGGAAUAUUGCACAAUGGGCGGAAGCCUGAUGCAGCAACGCCGCGUGCGGGAUGACGGCCUUCGGGUUGUAAACCGCUUUCGCCUGUGACGAAGCGUGAGUGACGGUAAUGGGUAAAGAAGCACCGGCUAACUACGUG